Molecule: long non-coding RNA, 615 nt
Organism: Gossypium arboreum
Lineage: Eukaryota; Viridiplantae; Streptophyta; Magnoliopsida; Malvales; Malvaceae
Exons: 2
Source: RefSeq, a predicted model, not a curated record
AGUUUACCCUAGAACAUAGACAACUGAGCUUGAAGCAAAAACAUUGAAACAUAAAGGACCAGCUAGCAAAUAACAAAAGUUAAAAACCUAAGUAAAGAUAUUAAAUAGACUUCAGAUCGGAUCUGUGCUGGGUGCUCAAAGAUAUGAUAGCGACAAAGCAAAGCAAAGCGGAGCCGGAAAAAGAAGAAACCAGAGAAGAGGGGAAAGGGAAAUUGAGCUACUGGAAAUUACAGGAAUGGGGUCUUUGGGAUGAACCAUUCGAAAGCUUUUCAUCGUUUUAGUCAUAAAUUGAAGUUCUUCCCGAGGCCACCCAUUCCAGUGAUUUCCAGAGGCUUAUCCCUUUCUCUUACAUCUUCCUUGCUUUGUUUAUAUAUGGAAACGGAAGAAAGCUAGCUGCUUCUGCUUGUAUUGUGAGGGAUCGCACAUUAUAUGGGAAAUUUGAGCAGGAAAACUGCAGAAUCUAGUCAAUCUUGGAUUUUGGACGAGAAUGAUCAAUUAAUGAUGUUCACUCAUUUCACUUACACAUUUGAAUUAUGUUUAUGUUCAUAAAUUAUGCUUACAGAAGUUGAUGCGAAUAUAGCAAAGGAGAGGGUAAAAAAGGGAUUAUAGGCGUAA